UCUUAUGCUGCACUGGCAAAUUUAAGUUGCAGUUGAGAAAACCUGAUAAACAGCAUUUGGAACACACAAGUAGUCAGGAUCAUGAUUCCACUGCGAGACAUAACCUAAGUUUCACAGAUGGGAAAAUUAAGGCACUAACGCUCAGGCUGAUUUCACUGAGCUACAGAAGCCUCGGUGGUUCAACAGGCUAAAGAAGAAAAAUUCCUAGAAAAUGUCUGCCUACUACUGAAGGAGGAAAAAGAAAAACCCCACUUGUGGGCAAUCCAAAGAGCAAGACAGUAUUGUGAAGUGCUGCAGAGUCUUUAAAGGGCAGUCGAAGAUUCAGAGCAAGAGCUUUGAGCCUGGUGCACACAGCUACUGAAACACAGAACGGAAGGGGAAACAGUCCUGGCUUGCUCAAACCUGCAGCACUACAAAGCUGGCUGGAAGCAUUAGUAAGUUUUGAUGUUUUGGGAUGCUUUUCUGUUAUUUUGGUUUUCUGUCUUUAAGUAUCAAAUACUACCUACACCCGCAGGCUAUGCUCAGCUUGAAUGCAA
Harpia harpyja (harpy eagle) is the source of this 536-nucleotide long non-coding RNA. RefSeq lists it as uncharacterized. Lineage: Eukaryota; Metazoa; Chordata; Aves; Accipitriformes; Accipitridae. The record is from RefSeq and is a predicted model, not a curated record. The transcript is spliced from 4 exons.